Molecule: ribosomal RNA, 327 nt
Filed under: uncultured eukaryote
Lineage: Eukaryota
Description: partial 18S ribosomal RNA
Rfam family: Eukaryotic small subunit ribosomal RNA
Source: RNAcentral
CCCUUAGAUGUUCUGGGCCGCACGCGCGCUACACUGACGAAUGCAACGAGCUUAUAACCUUGGCCGAAAGGUCUGGGUAAUCUCCAAAUUUCGUCGUGAUGGGGAUAGAUUAUUGCAAUUAUUAAUCUUCAACGAGGAAUGCCUAGUAAGCGCAAGUCAUCAGCUUGCGUUGAUUACGUCCCUGCCCUUUGUACACACCGCCCGUCGCUCCUACCGAUUGAAUGGUCCGGUGAAGCGUUCGGACCGUGGCCUUUGGACGGUUCGCCGUCUGUUGGCUGCGGGAAGUUCGUUAAACCUUAUCAUUUAGAGGAAGGAGAAGUCGCANCA